Molecule: ribosomal RNA, 254 nt
Filed under: uncultured bacterium
Lineage: Bacteria
Description: partial 16S ribosomal RNA
Rfam family: Bacterial small subunit ribosomal RNA
Source: RNAcentral
CACGUAGGGUGCGAGCGUUGUCCGGAAUUAUUGGGCGUAAAGAGCUCGUAGGCGGUGUGUCGCGUCGGCCGUGAAAACCUGCAGCUUAACUGUGGGCUUGCGGUCGAUACGGGCAUCACUGGAGUUCGGCAGGGGAGGCUGGAAUUCCUGGUGUAGCGGUGAAAUGCGCAGAUAUCUGGAGGAACACCGGUGGCGAAGGCGGCAUCCUGGACCAACACUGACACUGAGGAGCGAAAGCCAGGGGAGCAAACGGG